Molecule: ribosomal RNA, 253 nt
Filed under: uncultured prokaryote
Description: partial 16S ribosomal RNA
Rfam family: Bacterial small subunit ribosomal RNA
Source: RNAcentral
UACGAGUGCCCCGAGCGUUAUCCGGAAUUAUUGGGCGUAAAGGAUGUGUAGGUGGCGUUGUUAGUCUUUUGUUAAAACUCCGAGCUCAACUCGGGGACUGCGAGAGAAACGGCAAUGCUAGAGGGUGCGAGAGGUGAAUGGAACUCAUGGUGUAGGGGUGAAAUCCGUUGAUAUCAUGGGGAACACCAAAAGCGAAGGCAAUUCACUGGCGCAUUUCUGACACUGAAACAUGAAAGCGUGGGUAGCGAAUGGG